This is a long non-coding RNA of Grus americana (Whooping crane), 386 nucleotides long. RefSeq lists it as uncharacterized. NCBI's taxonomy places the organism in Eukaryota, Metazoa, Chordata, Aves, Gruiformes, Gruidae. The transcript has 2 exons. The record is from RefSeq and is a predicted model, not a curated record.
CCUCCCUUCGCACCCCCAGGGUGCUGCACCCAAGGGUGCCCCCCCUCGGUUGGGUGACGGUGCUAACACCCCCUUUUUUUUUUUUUUUUGUGUGUUCCCCCCCAAAAAAAUAAAAAUUAAAGCCUUCCUCGAUGGCUUCACGGAGGCGGAGGAGGAAGAUCUCAACAACCUCUGGGCGACGGCCUCGACCUUCAUCGUCCUCUUCAUCCUCAGCCUCUUCUACAGCGCCACGGUCACCUUGAUCAAGGUGAAAUAACUCCGCUCCCGCCGCGUUUCUUCCCUUCGCCGCCGGACGCUGCUGGAAUUUUUUCGGGAUUCUCCGCCCCCACUUGUGUUUCCUCCUCCUCGUUGUAAAUAUUCUCCAGCCCCACAAUAAAAAUUUUCCC